Myxocyprinus asiaticus (Chinese sucker) is the source of this 2213-nucleotide long non-coding RNA. RefSeq lists it as uncharacterized. NCBI's taxonomy places the organism in Eukaryota, Metazoa, Chordata, Actinopteri, Cypriniformes, Catostomidae. The record is from RefSeq and is a predicted model, not a curated record. The transcript has 3 exons.
GCCACAUUGUAAGUGAGAGUUCCGAGAGAGGGAGUAGGAGUGAGUCCAGAUGCGUCCUCCCCAGGCUGAGCUGGGUGUGUUUGCGAUGAGUGAGCGGAAGCCCUUUGAUUUACUGUCUGAUUUUGACUGCACUCCAGCCGUGACGUCAUUCCCACUACUCCUGCAGAGCCAAGCACACAGGCGCACCGAACACUCCCUAAAGCAGUAAUGUCUCAAUAUUCUGCUUGCCUGGCUGCUUUGCUAGAACAGAGAUCCACUGUACAUGCUCAGUGGCCUGGAGAGAACAGAAGAAGUAGUGUAUGAGUCAUGGAGCGCAGGCUGAAGACACAACUAGAUGAGUCUAAGAAUGGGAUUUAAACAUCUAAAGACUGUAUGUGUGUGUGUGAAGUGUUUCAGAAAAUGACUCAUCAUGAAAAGGAAGGCUGUGGUCUGAGAUCCUUCCCUGAAGCAUCCCUCCCAGGCCUGGAUGAGGGGAGUGCACCCUGCCCUGUGCUGAUUGAGAUACUGUUCACUAUGGACCACAGCCAGGCUUUACAGAUGGCCCAUGUUUAAUUUGCCUGAUGGCUUGGAGCAGCACAGAUGUUUUUUUUACCUCUGUGGUGAGGAGACGUGUCAGAGCAACAUGGCCGUGUCAAAUGAUCAAAAUGUGAAUGUGCUCUGUGACAUUGUUGCCUUGAGUGGUAUUCACCAUGACUUGCCUCUAAGCAGUGGUAAAGAAGACCCAGCAUGCACUCAUGAUAUCACACUAGAAAGCUGGCAACAGACAGACAGCAUCAUAUGACCUCCAGUUUGAGAGUUCUCCUCUAUGUCAGCUGGUGGUAUGUUUUUGACUGCAGUGGCUUCCUCACUUAUUUUGUACCAGAAACAUAGCUAACAAACACGAUGUCUUUGGAAGCUUAAAAUGAGAGGCUUUAAUAUACUUAAUCAACACAUACAGAAUAAAUAUAUAUGCACAUACAUGUACAUUAUCCAAGACAUUCAUUUGUUAACUAAGACACUAAGCUUUCACAUUUCCAAUGAAUGCUCUGUCUCUUUUUUGGAAUUACUAAAACUGAAGCAAAGCUUGGAUGGACAAAAAUUCUUCUGGAAUCUUAUGCUGUUCCUUUCUUCCAAUGCUGAAAACAAUACUGAUAUGUAAUAUAUUGUAGUGGAAUUUGUAAGUGACUUGCCAACCAAGACACUGGCGUUUAAAUUCAAAACAUCUGUUUUGGGGUAUUAGUUAGUUCCAGAGAGCGAGAGAGAGCUCUGCGUGUAUAUGAUACUAUUCCAUUCAUAACAAAUCAAAGGGCCUGUGGGGUACUGCUCUAACUGAGAAGGACACUGUAAAGGGCACUCACUAUGCCUGACACUACUAAAGUGGUGCAAAGGCUAACUGCUCAGGGACUUCUGCACUCCAUACCACUGAACAGAUACUGAACAUGCCUCUGCUUUGUGUUGUUUUAGUAUUAGUUUAGUAGUAGUGUGCACUCCACAGAAGAAACACUAAACCUAAAUGUGAAGAAAUUAAGUGGUCUCUUCAUAUUUGAUUUUUAACCAGGUUCACCAAGCCAGUUUACCAACAAUGGAGUGAAAAUGAGUUGUACUCAAUUGUGAUUAAUUGUAAUCAACAUCAAUACAGUCGUAACUCAUAAACUAUAAUUUUUCUAAAAAGUUUUCACUGUUUUCUAUAAUAUUUUGUUUAAAAUAUUUUGAUUUAAUGAGGCCUUUUAUGAAUCUAUUUUAUUUGCACCACAAUGAGAAGAAUCUAUACAGGGUUUUUUUUUUUUUUCUUCAUAAACUUAAAUAUAAACAGGGACUAAAAACAGAUCAGGGAACGAAAAUUAAAAUAGAAAACGAAUGAUUUUUUUUGCAGAACAUAACCGAAAAGGGAACAAAGUGAUUUUCAAUUGUUCCGGAGUGAAAACUUUAUUUUGAAAUGCUGGUAACUGGUUAUAACCGGUUAAUUUUUUUUCCGAUAGUUUUUCAUGAAACCGAAAGCCAAAGGGUUUAUCACAGUAAAUUUCUGGAACUACACCACUUCAUGUUGCCCAAAAAAAUUAAACAUAUGCUUUGAUCCUGAAGGAAACUACUGCAUAACACAUUUCAUAGCCUAAUUGCCCAUUGUGGAUGAAGCCUUCUGUGAAUGAAAACCUUUUAACAACUAUGUAUAACUACUACAUACUGAAUAAAUGCAUGGUUCAUCCAGAUAUAAGAAAAACAUUAUUAGAGGUAAA